GCUGCUUUGGUAUAGUGGUUAAGAUGCUUCUUUUGAGAAAUGCUUAUAUAAUCAGGUUGUGGGUUCGAAUCCCGCUGCUGGCA
Mycena rebaudengoi is the source of this 83-nucleotide non-coding RNA. Lineage: Eukaryota; Fungi; Basidiomycota; Agaricomycetes; Agaricales; Mycenaceae. The record is from the annotation of a GenBank genome assembly.